AUGACCAAAAUGUUGAAUCUUAAUCCUGUAAAAAAUGUCAGUGACAUAAAAUCGCUCAGAUAUUUGUAUGAUAAUUGUGAGAUCCAAAUUCGUAGUCUGGCUUCAAUGGGAGUCGUCUCUGACACGUAUGGUAGCUUACUGUGCCCCAUUCUAAUGAAGCUCAUUCCCGAAGAGAUAACAUUAGACUUCAGCAAACAAGUUGAAGAGGAUGAUGUCUGGAAAGUGGAAGAACUGAUGAGCUUCAUUCAAAAGGAAGUGGACAGCCGGGAGCGCACGGCCAACAUGUCUAAAAGCGGAAAAGAGCGCACAAGUGCGGAACGUGAAAAGGAAACACCAGGCGCAUGGGAAAUGCGAACAAGACGACAUAACACAAUGACAACGUCUACCCUUUAUGCGGCGAACCAAAUGGACAGACAAUAUUGUUUUUUUUGUGAGAAAAAUAAUCACCAGUCUAAACACUGCCAUGAAAUGUCUGUGCCUGAGAAAAAAGAAAAGUUAAAAAAUCAAGGAAGAUGCUUUGUGUGUUUUGGAACGAGACAUGUUGCCAAGGAUUGUCGCACUAAAGGUAUCUCUUGUGAGAAAUGUAAUCGACGUCAUCACCAAGCUGUGUGCUCCUAUGAUGGGCGUGAAUUCAGAAAAGAAAAUGAACCGGCAGAUGCCGUGAUGUCCAUGUCUCCCAGUGAAUCAAAGCGAGAAUCAGUUCUCCUUCAGACCGCUACUGUCUGGAUAGAAACUCCAGUUACAAGGCAACUCACCCGCUGUCUACUGGACGGAGGGAGUCAGCGAAGCUUUGUGCGUAAAGAUAUCUCCAGUGCGCUCAACCUCCCCAAAGUAGGUGAAGAGACUCUAAAGUUACACACGUUUGGCUCUAGUGUCCCACAAAAUAUCACCUGUAAUAAAGUAAAAUUAACACUGAGCAACAUCAGAGAUGGCCAAAGUGUACAGUUAGAAGUGUUGGAAAUCCCAAGAGUGUGCUCUUCCAUUGUGAGAGUAGCGGGAGAGGAAGUGCGCAGAGAACUGGAGCGAAAAGGCCUGCAGCUGGCUGACACUUCAGUGAGCGGAAUGGAGACGCAGGAGCUUGGAGUCCUCAUCGGUGGCGAUCACUACUGGAAAAUUGUGACAGGAAAAUUGGAGCGACUCUCAGAGUCUCUGGUAGCGGGUAAAAGUCAGCCGCAGGUUCCAUAUUCGCUGGAUAUUCGGUUUUCAUUUACCCCGCAAUCAGCUUUAUCAACCCAAUUGCAUUUCAUUACGGCUGUAGUUUGUUGA
This 1266-nucleotide long non-coding RNA is filed under the name Gadus morhua (Atlantic cod). RNAcentral describes it as "lncRNA (ENSGMOG00000031746.1)". Lineage: Eukaryota; Metazoa; Chordata; Actinopteri; Gadiformes; Gadidae. The record is from RNAcentral.